This 427-nucleotide ribosomal RNA is filed under the name uncultured bacterium. RNAcentral's name for it is "partial 16S ribosomal RNA". It matches the Rfam family "Bacterial small subunit ribosomal RNA", at positions 355 to 774 of the family's 1533-position model. The record is from RNAcentral.
UGGGGAAUAUUGGACAAUGGGCGAAAGCCUGAUCCAGCCAUGCCGCGUGUGUGAAGAAGGUCUUCGGAUUGUAAAGCACUUUAAGUUGGGAGGAAGGGCAUUAACCUAAUACGUUAGUGUUUUGACGUUACCGACAGAAUAAGCACCGGCUAACUCUGUGCCAGCAGCCGCGGUAAUACAGAGGGUGCAAGCGUUAAUCGGAAUUACUGGGCGUAAAGCGCGCGUAGGUGGUUUGUUAAGUUGGAUGUGAAAUCCCCGGGCUCAACCUGGGAAAUGCAUUCAAAACUGACUGACUAGAGUAUGGUAGAGGGUGGUGGAAUUUCCUGUGUAGCGGUGAAAUGCGUAGAUAUAGGAAGGAACACCAGUGGCGAAGGCGACCACCUGGACUAAUACGGACACUGAGGUGCGAAAGCGUGGGGAGCAAACA